This 304-nucleotide signal recognition particle RNA is filed under the name Gopherus agassizii (Agassiz's desert tortoise). RNAcentral describes it as "Metazoan signal recognition particle RNA (ENSGAGG00000003483.1)". It matches the Rfam family "Metazoan signal recognition particle RNA". Rfam says of the family: The signal recognition particle (SRP) is a universally conserved ribonucleoprotein. It is involved in the co-translational targeting of proteins to membranes. Lineage: Eukaryota; Metazoa; Chordata; Testudines; Testudinidae. The record is from RNAcentral.
GCUGGGCAUUGUGGCUGGUGCCUGUCAUCCCAGCUCCCAGAGAGGCUGAGGCCAGCAGAUCGCUUGAGUUCAGGAUUUCNUUCUGGGCUGCAGUGGGCUGUGCUGAUCGGGUGUCCACACUAAGUUUGGCAUCAAUACGGUGAUCCCUGGGAAGCUUGGGGUUCCCCAGGUCACCUAAGGAGGGGUGAACCAGUCCAGGUCAGAAAUGGAGCAGGUCAAAACUCCCAUGCUGAUCAGUAGUGGGAUCGUGCCUGUGAAUAGCCUCUGCAGUGUAGCCUGGGCAAGAUGGUGAGACACGGUCUCU